UCAUGCCGGUAUGGGCUCAUGGUGGAUGCCUUGGCGCAUGGGACCGAUGAAGGACGUUGGAGGCAGCGAUAUGCCCCGGGGAGCCGCCAGCCUGGCUUUGAUCCGGGGGUUUCCGAAUGGGGGAACCCACCCGCCGUCAUGGGCGGGUACCAUGCCGUGUGGCGUGGGGGGUACGCAGGGAAGUGAAACAUCUCAGUACCUGCAGGAAAGGACAUUCCGUGAGUAGUGGCGAGCGAAAGCGGAGGAUGGCUAAACCUUGUGCGCGCGAUACCCUCCGGGGGUUGCGCAUGGGGUGUCGUGGGAGCGUGCGUCCCGUUGCCGGAGCGGCGGGGCGGAGUGAUAAAACGGCGUGCCGGCCGAACAGGCUUGGAAGCCUGGCCGCAGUGGGUGAUGGCCCCGUAGGCGAAGGCAUGCCGUCUCCGUGUCAUGUUUCCCGAGUAGCGCGGGUCUCGUGGAACCCCGUGUGAAUCCGCCCGGACCGUCGGGUAAGCCUGAAUAUUCCCGUGCGACCGAUAGCGUACUAGUACCGUGAGGGAAAGGUGAAAAGCACCCCGGGAGGGGAGUCAAACAGAUCCUGAAACCGUGAGCCUGCGAACCGUCGGGGCCUGCCUUCGGGCGGGUGACGGCGUGCCUAUCGAAAAAUGAGUCUACGAGUCAGUGGCGUGUGGCGAGGCUAACCCGUGUGGGGGAGCCGUAGCGAAGGCGAGUCUUAAUGGGCGUUUGAGUCGCAUGUCCUGGACCCGAAGCGGGAUGAUCUAGCCCUGGGCAGGUUGAAGCGCGGGUAAGACCGCGUGGAGGACCGCACCCACCUGGGUUGAAAACCGGGGGGAUGACCUGGGGCUAGGGGUGAAAGGCCAAUCAAAUUCCGUGAUAGCUGGUUCUCUCCGAAAUGCAUUUCGGUGCAGCGUCGCGUUCUUGCCUGGCGGGGGUAGAGCUACUGGAUGACCGAGGGCCCGUUGCGGGUACCGACCUCAGCCAAACUCCGAAUACCGUUCAGGUUUCAUCGCGGCAGUGAGUCGGCGGGGGAUAAGCUCCGUCGUCGAAAGGGAGACAGCCCAGACCGUCGUCUAAGGUCCCCAAGCGUGUGCUAAGUGGGAAAGGAUGUGGGGUCGCAUAGACAGCCAGGAGGUUGGCUCAGAAGCAGCCAUCCUUGAAAGAGUGCGUAACAGCUCACUGGUCUAGUGGUCCUGCGCCGACAAUGUAGCGGGGCUCAAGCACACCACCGAAGACGCGGCAGCGCCUGUUGGCGCUGGGUAGGAGAGCGUCCCCCCGUGGGCGAAGCGGCGGCGUGAGCCUGCCGUGGACGCGGGGGGAGUGAGAAUGUAGACAUGAGUAGCGAGACGCGGGUGGGUAUCCCGCGCGCCGGAUGACCAAGGGUUCCAGGGCCACGCUUGUCGUCCCUGGGUGAGUCGGGUCCUAAGGCGAGGCCGACAGGCGUAGUCGAAUGGAUAAAGGAGUGGAUAUUCUCCUACCGGUUCGCGACCGUCCGGUCCGAGACCGUUUCCGAUGCAUGGGCUUGCGUGCCGUGGGUUGCUUCGGCUUCCCGCGUGCGUGGGUUGCGUGCGGCUGGGGCGGCAGUAGGGCAGCACUGGGGUGACGCGGGGAGGUAGCCGGCCGCGGAGGUGGUUUUCCGUGGCCAAGCGUGCGGGCCGUCCGGCAGGCUAUCCGCCGGGCAUGUGGCCGAGGCGCGACGGUGGGGCCCUUUCGGGCCGAAUCCGGUGAUCCUCCCUGCCGAGAAAAGCCUCCGUGCGAGGGCGCGUGCCGCCCGUACCCGAAACCGACACUGGUGGUCUGGUAGAGCAUACCAAGGCGAUCGGGCGAAUCCUGGUCAAGGAACUCGGCAAAACGCUCCCGUGCCUUCGGCAUAAGGGAGGCCCCCUCGGGUGAGGCCCCAUGCGGGCGGAGCCUUGGGGGGCGGCACAGGCCAGGGGGUAGCGACUGUUUACCAAAAACACAGGUGCAUGCGAAGGCGCAAGCCGCUGUAUAUGCACUGACGCCUGCCCGGUGCCGGAAGGUUAAGAGGAUCCGUCAGCCCUUGUGGCGAAGCGGUGAAUUCAAGCCCCGGUAAACGGCGGUGGUAACUAUAACCAUCCUAAGGUAGCGAAAUUCCUUGUCGGGUAAGUUCCGACCUGCACGAAUGGCGUAACGACUUCCCCACUGUCUCGACCAGGAGCCCGGCGAAAUUGCAGUACGAGUAAAGAUGCUCGUUAAGCGCAGAAGGACGAAAAGACCCCGGGACCUUUACUAUACCUUGGUAUUGGCGUUCGGUUCGGAUUGUGUAGCAUAGGCGGGAGGCUUUGAUCGUGGGGCGCCAGCCCCGCGGGAGCCGCAAGGUGAAAUACCGUUCUGUCCGGAUUGGACGUCUAACCUCGAUGAGUCAUCCUCAUCAGGGACAGUGCCUGGCGGGUAGUUUAACUGGGGCGGUUGCCUCCCAAAGAGUAACGGAGGCGCGCAACGGUCCCCUCGGCCCGUUUGGCAAGCGGGUGUCGAGUGCAAUCGCACAAGGGGGCUUGACUGCGAGGACGGCGGUCCGAGCAGGGACGAAAGUCGGUGAUAGUGAUCCGGUGCCGGCGCACGGGCGCGGCAUCGCUCAACGGACAAAAGGUACCCCGGGGAUAACAGGCUGAUCAUUCCCAAGAGUCCAUAUCGACGGGAUGGUUUGGCACCUCGAUGUCGGCUCGUCGCAUCCUGGGGCUGGAGCAGGUCCCAAGGGUUCGGCCGUUCGCCGAUCAAAGCGGCACGCGAGCUGGGUUCAGAACGUCGUGAGACAGUUUGGUCUCUAUCCUCUGCGCUCGUUGGAAUCCUGGGGAGCCCUGCCCAUAGUACGAGAGGACCUGGGUGGACGAACCUCUGGUAUGCCGGUUGUCGCGCCAGCGGCACGGCCGGUUGGCUACGUUCGGUUGGGAUAACCGCUGAAAGCAUCUAAGCGGGAAGCCCCCUCCGAGAUUAGGAUUCCUUGGCGCCCUCGGGGCGCCGUGAGACCCCUUGUAGAACACGAGGUCGAUAGGCCGGACGUGGAAGCCCCGCGAGGGGCGGAGCGGACCGGUACUAACGGUCGAACGCAUGAACGA
This 3071-nucleotide ribosomal RNA is filed under the name Pseudoscardovia suis. RNAcentral describes it as "bacterial LSU rRNA". It matches the Rfam family "Bacterial large subunit ribosomal RNA". Lineage: Bacteria; Bacillati; Actinomycetota; Actinomycetes; Bifidobacteriales; Bifidobacteriaceae. The record is from RNAcentral.